Long non-coding RNA from Neoarius graeffei (lesser salmon catfish), 644 nucleotides. RefSeq lists it as uncharacterized. The transcript is spliced from 3 exons. NCBI's taxonomy places the organism in Eukaryota, Metazoa, Chordata, Actinopteri, Siluriformes, Ariidae. The record is from RefSeq and is a predicted model, not a curated record.
AUGCGUCCUGCCCUAUGAGAGUACCACAACUUACACUGUAAAAAAUGUCCGUAAUUAAAAGGUACGAACUACCGUAUUCUUAGGAGGGAAUUUUCCGUAAUAUUAUUCUACGGAUGAUUUACCCGUAUUUUGAAGAACGCAAUGCAUUGUGGGAGAGACUGUCUUCAGAGGGAACGCAGCCGCCGCUUGCUCGCUCUCUGCUGUCUGAGUGAGUUGGAGUACUGCACUUCUGUGCUAUCAGAGCGGUCAAGAUUACCAGCCAACUUGUGAUGUCUUAAUAGGCUAGGAUCUACAUCUCGUAAAUCGUCCACAAUCCGUUUGGCCGCCCAAGUUGCUAGCUAAGUUAGCUCAGCAAGGCUCAUGUUGGUAACUGAACAGACGGUUAAUAGCUAUAUUGCCGUUAACGAGAAUAUAGCUAUUAACCGUCUAUUCAGUUAAAAUCAAGUUGGACUUGCCACAGUCCCAUUUGCCUGCCACCAUGCUGACCUGUAGCAUAUGUGGUUUUAAGUCUGUGUCAUCCACGGAAUAUGUCAGUCACUGCAGAACACACAGACACCUGAACAACGUGCGUAUGUCGUGUGCGCUUAGAGAUUGUGGUAGGAGAUUUUCUUCUUUCAACAGCCUCGCCGUUCACAUGUCACGAA